This 484-nucleotide ribosomal RNA is filed under the name uncultured bacterium. Its description in RNAcentral is "partial 16S ribosomal RNA". It matches the Rfam family "Bacterial small subunit ribosomal RNA", at positions 30 to 507 of the family's 1533-position model. The record is from RNAcentral.
AUUGAACGCUGGCGGCAGGCCUAACACAUGCAAGUCGAGCGGAUGAAGGGAGCUUGCUCCUGGAUUCAGCGGCGGACGGGUGAGUAAUGCCUAGGAAUCUGCCUGGUAGUGGGGGAUAACGUCCGGAAACGGGCGCUAAUACCGCAUACGUCCUGAGGGAGAAAGUGGGGGAUCUUCGGACCUCACGCUAUCAGAUGAGCCUAGGUCGGAUUAGCUAGUUGGUGGGGUAAAGGCCUGCCAAGGCGAGGAUCCGUAACUGGUCUGAGAGGAUGAUCAGUCACACUGGAACUGAGACACGGUCCAGACUCCUACGGGAGGCAGCAGUGGGGAAUAUUGGACAAUGGGCGAAAGCCUGAUCCAGCCAUGCCGCGUGUGUGAAGAAGGUCUUCGGAUUGUAAAGCACUUUAAGUUGGGAGGAAGGGCAGUAAGUUAAUACCUUGCUGUUUUGACGUUACCAACAGAAUAAGCACCGGCUAACUUCGUG